AGCCUGCCAGUGACACAUGUUUAACGGCCGCGGUAUCCUAACCGUGCGAAGGUAGCGUAAUCACUUGUUCUUUAAAUGAGGACUAGUAUGAACGGCACCACGAAGGUUAUACUGUCUCCUUUCUCCAAUCAGUAAAACUAAUCUCCCCGUGAAGAAGCGAGGAUAAAUUUAUAAGACGAGAAGACCCUAUGGAACUUUAAACUAACCAGCAUUUGCUAUAUACAAAUUUUUAACUUUAGACAAUCUAGCCCUCUGACUGGUAAUUUUCGAUUGGGGUGAUCACGGAACAAAAAAUAACCUCCGUGUCGAAAGGAUAAACCUGAGCAAAAAGCGACAGCUUUCCGCACUAAAAAAUUAAUGACCCAAUAUUUUGAUCAACGAACCAAGUUACCCUAGGGAUAACAGCGCAAUCUACUUCAAGAGUCCCUAUCGACAAGUAGGUUUACGACCUCGAUGUUGGAUCAGGGUACCCCAGUGGUGCAGCCGCUACUAAAGGUUCGUUUGUUCAACGAUUAAUACCCUACGUGAUCU
This 531-nucleotide ribosomal RNA is filed under the name Hypsiboas punctatus A. RNAcentral describes it as "partial 16S ribosomal RNA". It matches the Rfam family "Bacterial large subunit ribosomal RNA", at positions 1903 to 2606 of the family's 2925-position model. The record is from RNAcentral. Lineage: Eukaryota; Metazoa; Chordata; Amphibia; Anura; Hylidae.